This 21-nucleotide non-coding RNA is filed under the name Arabidopsis thaliana (thale cress). Lineage: Eukaryota; Viridiplantae; Streptophyta; Magnoliopsida; Brassicales; Brassicaceae. The record is from RNAcentral.
UAGAGUUGCCCUAGACAUCUU